UAUGCGUGGCUCUGUUUCAACAUACCUGAGAUUACUCUGAAGGAACAAUGAAGGCACUGCAAUUGGUAUUGCUUUUCAGCAUUAUGACGAUUGUUAUGGGCUCCAUCUGGGACCACAAGAAGUGCCUUUCAUUUUGCCGACCCAGAAGUGACAACGCUACCAACUGCGGCACUGGUUGCAAGUGCCAUCCUUUCCGCUAUAUGCCG
Rhipicephalus microplus (southern cattle tick) is the source of this 206-nucleotide long non-coding RNA. NCBI's taxonomy places the organism in Eukaryota, Metazoa, Arthropoda, Arachnida, Ixodida, Ixodidae. The record is from RefSeq and is a predicted model, not a curated record.